RNAcentral lists this ribosomal RNA (483 nucleotides) under uncultured bacterium. RNAcentral's name for it is "bacterial SSU rRNA". It matches the Rfam family "Bacterial small subunit ribosomal RNA", at positions 28 to 524 of the family's 1533-position model. The record is from RNAcentral.
GACGAACGCUGGCGGCGUGCCUAACACAUGCAAGUCGAACGGAGAUAUGAUUUCGGUUGUAUCUUAGUGGCGAACGGGUGAGUAACGCGUGAACAACCUGACUCUAAGAGGGGGAUAACACUCGGAAACGGGUGCUAAUACCGCAUAAGACCACGACCUGGCAUCAGGAUGAGGUCAAAGGAGCAAUCCGCUGAGAGAGGGGUUCGCGUCCCAUUAGAUAGAUGGCGGGGUAACGGCCCACCAUGUCAACGAUGGGUAGCCGAGCUGAGAGGCUGAUCGGCCACACUGGAACUGAGACACGGUCCAGACUCCUACGGGAGGCAGCAGUGGGGAAUAUUGGGCAAUGGGCGCAAGCCUGACCCAGCAACGCCGCGUGAGGGAAGAAGGGCUUUCGGGUUGUAAACCUCUGUCCUUGGUGACGAAACAAAUGACGGUAGCCAAGGAGAAAGCCCCGGCUAACUACGUGCCAGCAGCCGCGGUAAU